Long non-coding RNA from Cervus elaphus (red deer), 352 nucleotides. RefSeq lists it as uncharacterized. NCBI's taxonomy places the organism in Eukaryota, Metazoa, Chordata, Mammalia, Artiodactyla, Cervidae. The transcript has 3 exons. The record is from RefSeq and is a predicted model, not a curated record.
GACUGAACGACCCAAUUAUCAAGAGUGGAGCUGAGGAGACAGAAUCAAGCCAGUCCUGAUCAGUUUCUUCAGUGGCAGUUUACAUUAAGGAAGAUAGCAUGCUCUCUUCUUCUAACAGAAAUCAACGAAGGCAUCAGACUCUGAAUUUGCGACUAGGACAAUGGAAGUUCAACCCAAAAGCAACUGUAUCUGCUCCUGAAGCCUCAUUAAUAAAGAAGCCAGGAAUCAUGACAAAUAUACACUCAGGACCUGUAUCAACUGACAGUAAAUUAGAAUGAGCAUCGAUGAGCACCACCUCCAGUUGAAUGACAGAAUCCCCAUGUAUCAUUUUGGAAUAAAAUGUCUAAAUAUC